This is a long non-coding RNA of Peromyscus californicus insignis, 1848 nucleotides long. RefSeq lists it as uncharacterized. The transcript is spliced from 3 exons. The record is from RefSeq and is a predicted model, not a curated record. Lineage: Eukaryota; Metazoa; Chordata; Mammalia; Rodentia; Cricetidae.
GUUAGUUUCCUGUGUGCGGGUCUCUGGCCUUUGCCUGCAGCUCCAGGAGCCUCAGAGCGCUGCCCUGUGUGGAGUGAGGCGUUUGAACACAGUCUCAAUACACAGCACAGCAAGCAACUGGAUUCCUUCUCUCUCGCUUCUCUGCUUCUUCAGUUUUACAGUGGAAUGAAUGCCUUGUGUUAGGAAACUGUCCUGUGCUCUGUCAACUCACUGAAGCUGGCUCCAGAGAUUUCCUGGUACCAGAAAGCACCAUGCGAGAUUCCAGAGAUGGGAGACAACCCACAGUCCUUCCCAGCUCUGACACCUGUGAACUGCAUCAACCAGCAUGGCAUGACAACCCGGGUGCAGUUGUGACAUGUGUACCUUGGACUAAAUUGGAUUCAUUGGACUUAAGACCUGCUCAACAAGAGGGCAACCAUGCUUGAUAUAGGAAACAAACCUAACUAUUCAGUGCUAGUGAGGUCAUGGUUAUUGGUGGAGAAUUUACAGACACUAAUUUGCUAAACCAGCAUCAUCCCUAACAACAAUCUGUAAACAUUUGUCCUUAUGCCCACAGAUAAGUGUGGUCCUCACUGCUCAUCAAGGCAACUUCUCUUUGCAACAUAUGGAGACCACUACAGAAAAACACAAUCAAUCAAUAUGCAGAGUUGUAGAGCUCAGUCCCAAUGGAUACAUGUAUACAACACUUCCAUAUCUAAGGCUCAGGGGUAAUUUAGUAAGAGGGGAUGGGAAGAUUGUAAGAGGCCGAGCAUCAGGAAGUUUGUUGUGAGGUUGUGUCUCCUAGUGUGGUCAGAAGCUAUGCCCAUAAAGUCUCACUAACAUGACUGCUUAAGAAUGAACAAUGAGGACACCAAUGGCCAGACCAACAUGGGCGGAGAAGAGCCCAUGAGGCCUCAACCCCACAUAAAAAACUACAGGCAACUGAGGGAAGCUGGGAAUGGAGAGAGCACACCAGUCGCUUGUCCAGUACCAAAUAGUCAGCCCUGAAAACAUCCAUACAAGUAACAGGGACUGAAGUAGCUAUAUUUAGAAAUAUACAUGUGUAUAUGUAUGUACAUAUUUGCAUGCAAUAAUAGUUAAUGAAAAAAGAAGCCAUGAAUCGGUGGAGAGCAGGGAUUGAUAUAUUGGAAGGGUUCUGAGGGAGAAAAGGAAAGGAGAAAUGUUAUAUUGUUUACCUUCCCUGGCCAGGGAGGCUAAAUCUCUUCACAAUAUAGGUCUGUGAAAAGAUCUAUAAGGGAUUACCAGGGGACUCCAGACUUAAGAGUGAUGUGAACAAAGCACUUCCCACUUUUAUUCUUUUUUUUUUUAAAGAUUUUUAUUUAUUUAUUAUGUAUACAAUGUUCUGCCCACAUGUAUGUCUGCAGGCCAGAAGAGGGCACCAGAUCUCAUUACAGAUAGUUGUGAGCCACCAUGUGGUUGCUGGGAAUUGAACUCAGGACCUCUGGAAGAACAGCCAGUGCUCUUAACCUCUGAGCCAUCUCUCCAGCCCCACACUUUUAUUCUUAAAGCAAGAGAAAUGUGAGGUGACUUUUACAGUUAACCUAAGCAAAUAGAAGGGCACUGAGGGAAUUCAGCUGGUGGUAUGUCUUAUCAUCUUUGGUCAUAUGAACGGAGCCAAGAGUAUCCCACCCAGGCCUUUUCCUUUUCCGUAGAGGUAAUGUGUACAUGCCAUGCCGUUCCCUCAUGUCCUUGCUUUCAAGUGCAUUCACUUAUGGUUUAUACAUUUUUUUUUCUAGAAAGCUACCUGGGGAAAAGAACAUUCUGCACUCCAUCCAUAUUUUACUAUUAAGUUUACAGAUUUUUUUUUAAACAUAGGCUCCUGAUAUUAUAAUCUCAGAAAGAAUUACA